UCGGGAUAGCUCAGCUGG
RNAcentral lists this transfer RNA (18 nucleotides) under Correa pulchella. Its description in RNAcentral is "partial tRNA-Phe". The record is from RNAcentral. RNAcentral also lists the same sequence under 7 other names. Lineage: Eukaryota; Viridiplantae; Streptophyta; Magnoliopsida; Sapindales; Rutaceae.